AUGAGCGACGGCCAGGGCAAUGCUCCUCCUGGAGGCUACUUCAUCGGCCGUCCAGCGAACACCGACGAGCCCAAGGAGAAAGAACCGCCGCAGGCCGUCCCUGAGCCUGCUCCAGCUGCGCUGAAUACUCCUGGCGAUUACUUCGUCGGCCGCCCGUCAAACCACGAGCAGAACACGGCAGCGCCGGCGGCUAAACCGGGCUUCUUGGCCAAAUUCUGUCCAUGCCUCGCCGGCGGUGGAGCCACCAGCUAG
This 252-nucleotide ribosomal RNA is filed under the name Triticum aestivum (bread wheat). RNAcentral describes it as "partial small subunit ribosomal RNA". The record is from RNAcentral. Lineage: Eukaryota; Viridiplantae; Streptophyta; Magnoliopsida; Poales; Poaceae.